Molecule: long non-coding RNA, 669 nt
Filed under: Gadus morhua (Atlantic cod)
Lineage: Eukaryota; Metazoa; Chordata; Actinopteri; Gadiformes; Gadidae
Description: lncRNA (ENSGMOG00000033153.1)
Source: RNAcentral
AUGAGCCUGGACAAAGAAGGCGUUCCAGACCAUGUGAUCGGCUCCUCCUGCCAGAUGAGGACUCUGGACAGCGGCAUCGGGACCUUCCCCCCCCCGCGACCCCUGGGCCGCCGCCCCCUCCCCCAGUCCCAGUCCAGCCCCGGGGGGGGGGCGGUGCGGGCAGGAGGCCCCUGCAGCCCCCUGGGACCGCCUCCUCCGCCUCCUCCACCUCCUCCACCUCCUCCACCCCCACGACAGCUCCCUGGGAGCGCCGCGUCGGUGAGGACCUCGGACAGUGUGGCCCCGCCCCCCACGGAGCCUCACAACACAGCGCCCUCCUCAGAUUGCUCCGGAAGACAUCGGUUGAGUCUAAAGGGUUCUCGUGAAGCCAUCUCCACCACCAAUCAAGAGGAGGAGGAGGAGGAGGAGGAGGAGGAGGAGGAGGAGGAGCGAGAUGGGGGAAUGAGGAGCCAGCGCCUCCUAUCUCCUGACAGGACCCUGCGAGCGUGCACGUACACGGGCACCAGCACUGAGACGCAAGCUGAGGACCACAGUCCAGGGCUGAAAGCGCUGAGUUUGGAGCCGCCGCUGUCCAUCAUGGACUGUUACCGUGACGACGCCUUCCGUCGUCUGGAGAUGGGGGGCGGGGGUUCCCCCACUACGACCAAUCAGGGGACAGCCUCGACGUAG